UUAUCUCAUAAUUAAAAGUUAAUAAUUUUAUUUUUUUUAAAAUUUUUUUUUAAUAUUCAUAAUUUAGUAAGAUUAUAUAUUUUACUUAUUUUUUUUUAAGGAAAAACAACAAACUCAAUGUUCACUUAUGUUAUUUUGUUUAUCGCAACUUCACUUUCGGCGAAAACUCAAGUUCACCAAAAUAGCGUAAUUGAUUUCGUCCGAUUCUAUACUGAAAUCAAUGAAUAAAAAUAAAACUAAAAUAAUAAAAUAUUAACUCAUUACUCACAUCUUCGGUUUUUAUAUCAUUCGCUAUCUGCUAAACGAACAACAUAAUUAAAAAAAUUUCUAUUCUUUUUUGCUUUUACUCACUUUCUGUCAAACAAGCAGCAGAACUGAAAAACUUCAGUUUUCUUCAACUUUUACUCACUGUCUGCCAAACAAACAGCAAAACUGAAAAAAUUUCAGUUUCCUUCAACUUUUACUCAUUGUCUAUCAAACAAACAGUAGAAUUGAAAAUCUUCAAUUUUCUUCAACUUUUACUCACUGUCUGCCAAACAAACAGUAGAACUGAAAAUCUUCAGUUUUCUUCAACUUUUACUCACUGUCUGCCAAACAAACAACAAAACUGAAAAAACUUCAGUUUCCUUCAACUUUUACUCAUUGUCUAUCAAACAAACAGUAGAACUGAAGAAAAUAAAACUUUAGUUCCCUUCAAUUUUUUCUCAUUUUCCGCCAAACAAAAAACAAGACUCAGAAAAUUUUUGUCUAAACUUUACCAGCAAGACUAUAUCUUCUCAAUUUUAUCUUUCCACGAAUCUUUCUCACUCCCCUACUACUAAACACAAAAAUUUUAAUGGAAAAUUUUCAAAUAUAUCCCCUGUGGUUUAGCACUUCUCACUUUAUUACUUUAUGGUUUCAUUUUUCUCUUUCUCUCUGUUAACUCUCUGAUAAAUAUAUAGAAAAAAAAAAAGCUUUAGAUACCUCAUGUGGCUUAUUGAAUAUUCACUUUAGUAUCGCGUGGUUUACAAAAUUUUUUAUUUUGGUAUCUUAUAAUUUUAACUUUACCAUUGAUUUAACGAAAAAAAUUAAAGGAAGUGAUAAUAAAAAAGAGAAAAAUAAAAUAACAGAAUAAUAAAGUGAUACAGUUUAAAUCAUAAGAUACUGAAGUAAGAAAGCAUUGAACUACAGGGAUGACAUUCCAAGUUUGGGUUAGUUUUAUAUAGGUCCCUGCAAAUAUCACUACAAAGUUCAACUUUCAUAUAUUGUUCUUACAAAAGUCCUGAUGUUUUCAAAUAUAUUCCUCUGGUUUAUUAUCUUAGAGAACCAUUAAAGAACUAUUUAUAUUUUCAAUUACGCCAUCACAAAUAUGCCCCUCCAAAAACCAUAACAGUAAAAUAUAAGAGGAAAAAAAAUAUCAAAAACUAAACAGGAUUAAGUAUAUAUUUAACCUAGGUUAACUAAAUUUUUCUAACGGAUUCUAGCAGCAGGGACAUAUUUGAAAACAUCAAAAUUUUUACAGAAACAAUAUAUAAAAAGUUAAACUCUGUAGAAAUAAUAUAUUUAUAAUUCAUUAGGUUUGCGAGAGGAUCUAUAUGAAAUU
RNAcentral lists this long non-coding RNA (1582 nucleotides) under Ananas comosus (pineapple). RNAcentral describes it as "long non-coding RNA (ACOM_LNC043506)". The record is from RNAcentral. Lineage: Eukaryota; Viridiplantae; Streptophyta; Magnoliopsida; Poales; Bromeliaceae.